Molecule: ribosomal RNA, 501 nt
Filed under: uncultured Glomus
Lineage: Eukaryota; Fungi; Glomeromycota; Glomeromycetes; Glomerales; Glomeraceae
Description: partial 18S ribosomal RNA
Source: RNAcentral
CGUAAGGCGCCGAAUGAGUCAUUAAAAAUAACAUCAUCCGAUCCCUAGUCGGCAUAGUUUAUGGUUAAGACUACGACGGUAUCUGAUCGUCUUCGAUCCCCUAACUUUCGUUCUUGAUUAAUGAAAACAUCCUUGGCAAAUGCUUUCGCAGUAGUUAGUCUUCAAUAAAUCCAAGAAUUUCACCUCUGACAAUUGAAUACUAAUGCCCCCAACUAUCCCUAUUAAUCAUUACGUCAAUCCUAGAAACCAACAAAAUAGGAUCGAACGUCCUAUUUCAUUAUUCCAUGCUAAUGUAUUCAAGCGUUAGCCUGCUUUAAACACUCUAAUUUUUUCAAAGUAACAGUCCAGUCUCCCCGCAACACCAAAUUAAUGGCAUUACGGUUCAUCAGGAAGGAGGAAUCAGUAAGACCAGUGCAUACCAGUGGCACGACCAAUCUACUAACCCCGAAAUUCAACUACGAGCUUUUUAACUGCAACAACUUUAAUAUACGCUAUUGAGCU